UGUAAGCGUAUACCAAAGUUGUUGCAGUUAAAACGCUCGUAGUCGGAAUUUGGCAGUUCCGGAUGUGUGCACGUCGUGUGCGCACUUCGCGGGGAUUGCUUUUGUGGUCUUGUGUAGGAUGAGGCACUUUUAUUAGUGAACGUCCUCACGCAACCACUUUUUACUGUGGGAAAAUCAGAGUGCUCAAAGCAGGCAUUUGCCGUGAAUGUAUUAGCAUGGAAUAAUAGAAUAGGACUUGGUUCUAUUUUGUUGGUUUGUUGGGACUGAGUAAUGAUUAAGAGGGACAGUUGGGGGCAUUUGUAUUUCGGUGCUAGAGGUGAAAUUCUUAGAUUACCGAAAGACAAACUGCUGCGAAAGCGUCUGCCAAGGAUGUUUUCAUUGA
Molecule: ribosomal RNA, 382 nt
Filed under: uncultured eukaryote
Lineage: Eukaryota
Description: partial 18S ribosomal RNA
Rfam family: Eukaryotic small subunit ribosomal RNA
Source: RNAcentral